UACGAAGGGGGCUAGCGUUUGCUCGGAAUUACUGGGCGUAAAGGGAGCGUAGGCGGAUAUUUAAGUCGGGGGUGAAAUCCUGGAGCUCAACUCCAGAACUGCCUUUGAUACUGAGGAUCUUUGAGUUUCGGGAGAGGUGAGUGGAACUGCGAGUGUAGAGGUGAAAUUCGUAGAUAUUCGGAAGAACACCAGUGGCGAAGGCGGCUCACUGGCCCGAUACUGACGCUGAGGCACGAAAGCGUGGGGAGCAAACAGG
RNAcentral lists this ribosomal RNA (256 nucleotides) under uncultured bacterium. RNAcentral describes it as "partial 16S ribosomal RNA". It matches the Rfam family "Bacterial small subunit ribosomal RNA", at positions 524 to 776 of the family's 1533-position model. The record is from RNAcentral.